This 1908-nucleotide long non-coding RNA is filed under the name Homo sapiens (human). Its description in RNAcentral is "LHRI_LNC1472.1". Lineage: Eukaryota; Metazoa; Chordata; Mammalia; Primates; Hominidae. The record is from RNAcentral.
GCCUCCCAAAGUGCUAGGAUUACAGGCGUGAACCACCGCACCCAGCCAACACCUUUACUUUUUAUGGCCUGGAUAUAAUGGGCUAAAACAUAUAUAAUGACAAUGCUUAAAAGACUUAGAUGAAUUCUAAGUCUGGAAAAAAAAGUACUUUUUACAAAAGGAGCAAAAAUAGCAUUCAGGAGAGUUUGAGGAAUUGAGAAAGACCAAACAAACAAAAAUCACCUAUGAUCUCAUCAUCCAAGCACAAACACUUUCAUGUUUGCUGUUUGUUUCUGCUCUUUGUCCAUUUAUGUAUUUAAGUUUGGCUAUGGUUGCAACAUGUAAUUUUCUAUACUUUAAAAAAUUUGGGGCUGGGCACAGUCGCUCACGCCUGUAAUCCCAGCACCUUGGGAGGCCGAGGCGGGCGGAUCACCUGAGGUGGGGAGUUCAAGACCAGCUUGACCAACAUGGAGAAACCCCGUCUCUACUAAAAAUACAAAAUUAGCUGGGCAUGGUGGUGCAUGCCUAUAAUCCCAGCUACUCAGGAGGCUGAAGCAGGAUAAUGGCUUGAACCCAGGAGGCGGAGGUUGCAGUGAGCCGAGACAGCACCAUUGCACUCCAGCCUGGGUGACAAGAGCGAAACUCCAUCUCAAAAAAAAAAAAAAAAAUUGUCAUCUACCAUAAGCUCACACUUAUGUUGCUGACAAGUGUUCCUAAUUAUCACUUUUACUGGCUGCAUAAUAUUCUACUGAGUGGCUGUGACAAAAUUUAAUUAACUGUUCCCCUAUUAAUGUAAGAUUACCGUUGUUUCUGGUUUUUUUGCCACUUUAGUUACAAGCUUUUGUGCUGGAUAUCCUCCAUUUGACCCUCCAGAUCCACUCUCCAGCCUUGUCCUCCCUGCUUUGGGUCCUAUGAAGCUGACUUGUAUGGACUGUAUCAAUGGGCUCCAUUGCUCUCUGGCUUUUGAUUGGGUUCAGCCAAUGGGGACCCUGGCAGGAGAUCAGAGGAUGGGAGAAGAGUAUUGCUGGGGUAUUUAUUCCCCAGGCUCUCCGUCUCCAGGGUCACUGCUGGCUGGAUAAUUCUCUCAACUAAAGGUCACAGCUCUUGUUGAAUGACCCUUUCCACAUGGCUCCAUCUGCCUGUGGGUUCCAGUAACUGCUCUCUCCAGUCCCCUUUUCAUGUCUGGGUGCCUACGUGUCCCCUCACCCCCUGCAACACACACACACAUGUGCAAACACACACACACACACACACACACCUGUUCCUGCUAGCCUUUGGGUACUGCACUAUUCCUUAGAGUUCCCUACACCUGGCCCACAUCUCUACAAAGAGUCUCUUUAAUUAGUCCUCAAAUUAUACAGUUCAGUGUCCUAACUGAUAUAUCAUGCUAUUUCAGAUAAUGCAUGUCUUUUUACAUCUAAUUUCAUUAGGAUGGAUACCUGAAAAGGGAAUUAUGGAGUCAAAGAAUGUGAACACUUCAGGCUCUUGAGUCAUACUGUCAAUUUGCUUUUGAAAAGGAUCUGUUGGCAUUGGUACCAGUGCAUCCUUCCAGCACUGGAUAUUUUAAAAUAUAAUUUUGCUAAGUCAAUAGGUUAAAAAAUGGUACUUUAUGGUAAUUUAAGUUUUCAUAUCUUGGAUUACCCUCAAGUUUGCUUAUAAAACCUGGUUAUUGCUGUGUACGUUGUUAUUUUGGAGUUUGUUUAAAUGUUUCUCCCUUCCCCACUCAUUCUCUAGUUGUAUAAUCUUUCCUUAAUAAUUCAAUUUUUUAAAAGAUCAACUUUUUAAAGCCUCAAUGUCUUCAUCUAUUUACAGAUAUCCUAACAAUAACACCUCUCUCACAGAAUUAUUGUGAGAAUUAAAUGAAAAUAAGCAUGUAGCAUAUAAGAAACAUCCAAGAAACAUGAAUGCUUUCCUCCUUAAUAAUUAUGC